CCUUUGACGUCUUCCCCCGGGAGGUGGCGGGGGUCUGCGACCGAAUGCCGGCGGGACUCUGGGUCAGGGCUUCUGGCGGGCCCUGCGGGGGGCAGCGAGGUGACCGUGAACCUGCGGCUCAUGGCGCGGAAAGGAGCCAGGCGGCCGCGGCAAGGUCCGGGAUCGCACAAGUGGCUGCAACCAGGCUCUAGGAGGGAGAAAGAGCGGAUCCCCCAACCCCCUCCGCCCGCCCGCCCCCCGCGAGACGCGGCGCCGCGCAGGGUCCUAGUGCCCGCUGUGCGAAGGGUUCCUGAAUCUGGCCACUUCGCUGGGAGGCCCUGGGCUCCCCAGUGCCACCCGAAGGGCCUGAGGAGGCCAUCUGCAGGUGAGAGUCGUCCCUACAACGGGGGCACCUCUGUUAGGGUCUCCUAAACACCUGGGGCUCAUUCAUUCAUUCAUUCAUUCAUUCGGCACAUGUCGAUAGCGCUCCUGUGUUUCGGUCAAUGGUGCGAGGGAUACGUCGGUGGAUGAGAUCCACUGGCUUCUUGCCCUCAAGUGGCUUAAAUUCUAAUAAGGAGAAAAAGAUUAUAAGUGAGCAAAUGCAUAGAUGAGAUCAUUUGAGAUUGGAUGUAUGUUUAAAACUAGGGCCAUGGGAUAAUGGGUAAGAGGGAGGACUACUUUAGGGGUGGCCUGAGAAGGCCUCCUAGAAGAUGUGGUAUUUGAGCUGAGACCUCACUGAUGAGAAGGGCCAGCUAUGCAAAGAUCUAGGGGGAAGAGUUCUCUAGAAGAAGAAACAGCAAAUGCAGAGCCUUGGAGUGAGAAGGAGUCCCGACUGUCCAAGAAACAGCAAGGCCAUUGUGUCUGGAAGAGAGUGAGUGGAGAAGAGAGUGACUGGAGAUGAGGGAGGAGAGAAGGGCAGAUCAUGUGGUCUUCUGAAGGCUUUGGGGAGGAUCCUGGAUUUUUUGAGCAGGGGAAUGAUGUGAUCCAAUUUAUAAUUUAACAGGAUCAUUCUGGCUGCUGGGCGAAGGUUCAACUAAAGAAUGGCAAGAGUAGAAGCUGGAAAUCUAAUUAGGAGGCUCCUGCAGACCCCAAGCUGGGGGGUGAUGACAGCCAGACUAGAGUGGUGGCAGUUGUCUGAUUCCAGUUAGGUUUUGAAAGUGAAACCAUCAGGACCCACUGAUGGAUCGGAUGUGACACGUGACCAUAAGAGUGAAGUCAAGGAGAAAUCCUGGCAAUUCACACACUGCUGGUGGGAGUGUAGUUAGGCAAAAACUACUUUGGGAAACUAUUUGGAAACAUCUACUGAAGGUGAACGUACACAUAUCCUUCAACCCAGCAGUUUUUCUCCUAGGUAUAUACCCGAAAGAAAUGACUACUUGUGAUCACCAAAAGACAUUUACCAUGAAUGUUCAUAGGGGCAUUGUUCAUAAUAGCCCCAAAUUGGAAUCUACCAAAUGCUUGUCAACAGUAAAAUAGAGAAAUAAGUCGUAGUACCUUCACACAAUGGAAUACCAUCUACAAUUCUCAGAACAAUAUGGAUGAAUCUCACAAAUAGAACCUUGAUAAAAAAGAGUCCAGACACAAAAGAAUACAUACCCUAUAACACUAUUUAAAUACAGUAAAAAAUAGUCAAAGUCUAUCUAAGCUGUUAGAAGUAAUGAUAGUGGCACUGGGCGCGGUGGCUCACACCUGUAAUCCCAGCACUUUGGGAGGCCAAGGCUGGUGGAUCAUGAGGUCACGAGUUCAAGACCAGCCUGGCCAAGAUGGUGAAACCCCAUCUCUACUAAAAAUACAAAAAUUAACCAUGUGUAGUGGUGGGUGCCUGUAAUCCUAGGUAUUUGGGAGACUGAGGCAGAGAAUUGCUUGAACCUGGGAGGCGGAGGUUGCAGUGAGCAGAGAUCAUGCGACUGCACUCCAGCCUGGGUGACAGAAAAAAAAAAAAGUAAUGAUAGUGGUACCCCUUGGGGAGAAGAGGUAGUGAUUGCAAGCAGGCUUCUAGGGUGCUGAUAAUGUUUUGUUUCUUUCUUUUUUUUUUUUUUUUUUUUUGUCUCUUGAGACAGAAUCUCACUCUGUCGCCCAGGCCAGAGUACAGUGUCAUGAUCUUGGCUCACUGCAACCUCCACCUCCCAGUUCAAGAAAUUCUCCUACCUCAGCCUCCCAAGUAGCUGGGAUUACAAGGUACCCACGACCGUGCCCAGCUAAUUUUUGUAUUUUUAGUGGAGAGAGUUAUUCACCAUGUUGGCCAGGCUGGUUUUGAACUCCUGAUCUCAGAUGAUCCACCUGCCUUGGCCUUCCAAAGUGCUGGGAUUAUAGGCAUGAGCCACCAUGCCCAGCCUCUUGUUUCUUGACCUGGUGCUGGUUACACACUUGUGUUCCAUUUGUGAAAAUGUCUUCAAAUGUACACUUAUGAUAGAUACAUUUGUAUAUUUAUUAUAUUAUGGCAAUGGUUCUCAACUGGGAGCAAUGUUGACCACCAGGGAAUGUUUGGCAAUAUUCAGAGACAUUUUUGGUUAUCACAACUGGAGCAGGGGCUAGUACCAGCAUCUAGGGGCUAAAGGCCUCUUGGGCCCUCUAGGUUUGUACCAGGGCUGCCUGGCCAUGAGUCACAGUUCAACAUUACCCUGCUGCACCCCAUCCCCACACUGGGGCCUUCCUUAGCAGAGAGGGCUGACCCUGAAUGGGCCUGGCAUCUGGCCGUGGAUCCUGUCACCUCCUAGAGGAAGACACCAAACAUGCUAGAAGGUACAGUGUAGAUGUACAGUGUAAGACAAUCCCCCACAACAAAGUAUCCAGCCCAAAAUGUCAAUAGUGUAGAGGCUGAGAAACCCAGUACUAGAAAAGAAGUUUAAAUAACUGAUUCCUAGAUUUUAGGACUGAUUAGGUGUUCAGUUUGAUUGAGGGUGGAUGAUGCUGUCUCUUAUUAAAGUGGUAACAACAGAGGAGCACGUUUGGAAGGUGAAACCCAGGAGUCAGUUUGGACCCGUUAGGUUGAGAGGUCUGUUUGCCAGCUAAGGAGCCAUGUAGAGUAGGCAGUUGAACAUGAGUCUGGAGCUCGGGGCAGGGGAGAGGAGGUUAUGGUAGGAAACAUAAAUUUCACGGUCUUUAGCAGAGAGAUGCUAUUUAAGGCUGUGGGCUACCAGACAUCACAGGGAAUGAGUAUACACAGAGCAGAGGAUUCCCACGAUUGAGCACAAGGGUGCCUCUGUCACCAGAAGAGGAAAAUCCACCCAGUGAGGUAGGAGGAGACCCAGAAGUAAGGUUCCAGAGGCCGAGAGUUUCAGGAAGAAGGGCAGGAUCCACUGUGUCAAUGUGGGGAGAGUUGGUGUGGGAUGAGCAGAGAGGAGCUCCUGUCACAUCUGGCUACAAGAAGGUCAUAAAUGGCUUUGAAGAGGGUGACUUUGGUGGUGUAGUGGGGUGGGAGCCAGGCUGGAAAUGGCUGAGGAGAGAAUGGGAAUUGAGGAAGUGGAGACAGUGAGUAGAGACCAUGCUUUUGGGAAGUUUUAUUGUGAAUAGGGAUAGGAAGGUAGAGAAAUAGACUAGUAUCUAGUGGGAGGCAGGGGUUAAGACAGAUUGUAAACAAGCCAUGGCGGGGAAUGUUUGUACGCCAAGUGGGAGUGGGUCAUUUGAGCAAGAAACAGAUGAAAGAGGAAGCUCAGGAGGGCAGUUUUCUGGACUCCUACUUAAAUUCCCACGUGGGCCCUGAUCAAACCCAUCAUCUCCACUCACGGGCCCCAAUCUUUCAGUCAAGUCCCUUUGCUAACCUGUAAGGUCAAAUUCAUAUUCAGCUUGGCAUUCAGGACUUCUCUCAUCUAGCCCAAACUAGCACUGCUAUCUUAACCAUUCUGGAAUCCUCUCCAUUCCCUCUUAGCCACCUGCUACUACCCCAUGCUGGAGUUCUGAGCCAUUUGAAGUUCUCCAGACACCCACUGCUUUUUCUCUUCUUUUUCUCUUCGUGCACUUGCACCAAGAACCCACAUUCAAAUCCCACUCUUAUCACUCACUAGCUAUGAGACUUUGGGUGAGUUGUAUAACUCUCUGUGCCUUAGUUUCCUUAUCUGUAAAACAAGGGAUUGGUGAUGGCAGUAAUAAUAGUACAUACAAAGUAAUAGGAGUACCUAUCUCCUCUGGUUGUUUUGUCACACAAAAUGCACAUAGAACAGUGCCUGGCACAUAGUGCUGUACCGUGGAUAGCUACUAACGUCAGGUAUAUGAUCCAUAUUUUAUUUAUCCACUGACUUACUCCUGGGCAGCUAGGUUAUUGCCAGUUUUUCACUAACAAACAAUGCUGCAAUCAACAUCCUUCUAUGUGUUGUCUUGUGCACACAUGUGAGGGUCAGAAAGUAGUUACAUUUUUAGGUUUAGUGGUUCUUGGUAAAUUACCCUGUAAGAAGAUUGUCCCUUGCACAGGAAGAAGCUCGUUCAUCCUUUCUGAUUCAGUUCCGGUUCAGAUGUCAUCUUGACUGAGAAACGUUCCUGGACCUCAACCACAACACAGACACACACACAUGUGCACACACACACACCAUUAUUGUAGAAUAAAAGAUCAUGCACUGCACACUCCCCAAGUGUGAUCCCACCGCCACCAGCCAUAGAAUCACCCUUGUAAAUAGGUCAGACUCUCUGGAGGUGGAGCCUGGAGUUGCAUUUUAAGCAAGUUCCAAGGGGAAUCUUAUGCAUUCUAAAGUCUAACUCAUUUCUCUAUCCCCAUUGCCCAGUACAGGGCCUGGCUCCAUGUAGGGGCUCAAUAAAUGUUUGAUGAAUGAAUAAACAGGUUGAUCAUUUCCUUGACUGUAAAAUAGAAAUAAUCACAUCAUACUUUCCUAACAGGAAUGAUUGAAUAUGUUAACAUUUACAAAGUGCCUAGAACACUAUUUUUUUUUUUUUUGAGACGGAGUCUUGCUCAGUCACCCAGG
This 4892-nucleotide long non-coding RNA is filed under the name Homo sapiens (human). RNAcentral's name for it is "HSALNT0401290". Lineage: Eukaryota; Metazoa; Chordata; Mammalia; Primates; Hominidae. The record is from RNAcentral.